RNAcentral lists this non-coding RNA (211 nucleotides) under Sphingorhabdus sp. 109. Lineage: Bacteria; Pseudomonadati; Pseudomonadota; Alphaproteobacteria; Sphingomonadales; Sphingorhabdaceae. The record is from RNAcentral.
AUGGGGCGCCAGAUAUCGGGUUUCUCUUAAUCGAGAAUUUAAAGGGAAAUCGGUGAGAAGCUGGCUCUGGCCCCUUCAAAUCCGGUACUGCCCCCGCAACUGUAAGCGGCUAGCCGAUAUGCCAUAUGCCACUGGAUCUGCGGAUCUGGGAAGGCGGCAUAUCGACAGCGAUCCGCAAGUCAGGAGACCUGCCCUAUAUCGUCGUUCUUCA